ACCUGGCUGGCUCAGUCGAUAGAGCAUGCAACUUUUGAUCUCAGAGUUGUGAGUUCAAGCCCCAUGCUAGGUG
RNAcentral lists this transfer RNA (73 nucleotides) under Mustela putorius furo (domestic ferret). It matches the Rfam family "tRNA". From Rfam's summary of the family: Transfer RNA (tRNA) molecules are approximately 80 nucleotides in length. Their secondary structure includes four short double-helical elements and three loops (D, anti-codon, and T loops). The record is from Rfam by way of RNAcentral. Lineage: Eukaryota; Metazoa; Chordata; Mammalia; Carnivora; Mustelidae.